Long non-coding RNA from Chenopodium quinoa (quinoa), 2371 nucleotides. RefSeq lists it as uncharacterized. Lineage: Eukaryota; Viridiplantae; Streptophyta; Magnoliopsida; Caryophyllales; Amaranthaceae. The record is from RefSeq and is a predicted model, not a curated record. The transcript has 8 exons.
GUUGUGCAUGAGUUGUUUACAUAGAUCACUAGUUCAUUAAGGUCGUCAUAAUAUGAAUCUUUAUUUUCUUGUUUAGCCAUGUUCCAUUUGAGCUUUGAGCAUAAGUUUCGCUGACACAACACAUGAGCUUGUACGGUCCAAUCCAUAUUUUUUUUACCAUUAUUCAAAUUAUCAAUGGAAUUUGUUUAAAAAAAAAUAAAAGUUUAUCAAUGUAGUAUUUUUUUAAAAAUUUAAUUAAUUUAUUUUCUUCCUUGGAUUAUGAAAUUCAAAUUCAAAUGUUUCAACCAGGGCUCCAAUAAAAAACCAAAAGAAAAAUGAAAAAAAAAAAAAAAGUUGACAGUUACCAAUUUCUGUUAUUUUCGCACCAGAAAUUGCAAUUGCAUCAUUACAUGUAUUCCUAAUCAAACGGCUCUUUCAUCUGCACAGUUACUCAAUCUCAAUGUAUCGUCCUCGAUCAUGUUGCGAUCAUUUUGGCGGCCCAUUGUUCGCUUCUCUCUCCUAUAUUUCCGCACAAGUAGCUGUUGAAAUUGAUAGAAUCCCAGCUAUAAGGGGAGACUGAUAUGCUUAUGAUCUUUGUGGCUGUCCUUGCUUUAAAUCCGAAUCAGGGCUGUCAGUGGGAAGCUGAGCAAAGACACCAUCUGUCUUCUUCUAAAAGUCCAAGAGUUAUAUCAUCAAUGAAUUGCAGGGAAUUGAAGUCGUUCAUACAUUUAAUAGGAUACUGUGGCUUUGGAGACAAUAGUCGGAUAUUGUAUAUAAAAUUUUUUCCAGGAAACAGUUGUGGACAUAUUGCAAACUAUUGUAGAAAAAUUUACAUAUGGUGAUAGGCAUGACCCAUCAUCUUCGAUUCAUGGAACAUCAAGUGUUAGCUGAGUUUAUCUGCAUGCUCAAGAUUAGUAGGGAUACCAAGAACAGGAUUGAGGCAAAGGUGCUUCAAUACCUGAGCAUAAUGAUACUAAAUCUACACAGUGAACAUUUAUUUUGGCUGUGAGUGGGAAGCAGAACAAAGACACCGUCUGUCUUCUCUAAAAUUCCAAGAGGGUGUUUUUACAUAGUUUCCUCUAUAUACUUUAGCCCUUAAAUUUGCACACCAUGGGGAGAAGGUCAUUCAGACAGCCAUUCAUUCUCUUACUCUAAGCAUAUAUAAUGGGUGUCAAGAUUUCUUCUGUACUUAUCGAUAUCUACUUUCUCAUCUACUUCAAGUGGUUGUAAAGAAGGAUAUGUUGGAUUCUGUGGCCAGUCUAAUUCUGAAUCCUCAUGUGGCAUUGGGUCUUGUGAUUGGUACUGAGGACUCUGCUGUUGAUAGUACUCAAGCCAUCUUCUGAUCAGCUUAACAGUAUUAAGAAAAUUUUAAACUCCAGUCUCGAGUCUCAGUAUGAUGACGAAGAAUUUGAGGUUAUCUUGGAGGCCAAGUUAUCAGCUCACUGUAUAACAAGUUUUCAGUGCGACAGUCAGCAGGAGAGGAAGAUAGCGUAACGUGACUAGUUUAUUUCAGCAUUAUAUACUUUUUAAAUGCACAGUUUAAGAAAAGGCAGAGGUAUAGUCUAGGGAGAUUAUGCAUGUUGCUCAGCGUUGCCAGUGUAGCUUAUUGUCCUCAGGCUGCUGUUGCUUGCAGGGCAGUUUACUAUAUAGUGAAUGUAUUUGGUAGUUUAUGCCUUGAUUUAUUGUGGAUAAUGCAUACUGUCAGUAUAGGAGCAAGUACUUUUGAUUUUAAACUAUAGUUUGGUAAAACUUCAUUCUCUUGUAGAUUUAUUUUUUUUUUUUUUUUUUUUUUUUUUUUUUUUUUUUUUUUUUUUUUUUUUUUUUUUUUUUUUUUUUUUUUUUUUUGCAUUUCGAAGUGGAAUGCUCCUCUAUGGAGGUUGUGACUUGUGAGACGGGUUUUCAUAUUAAUUAUAGUUGUUAACACUGUUUUGGACCUUAGUCGGCAAUUGCAGGUGUGUUUUUUUGCUGUGAUGUCUUGUAAUUGGUCUCGGUUGAUACAAGAUAGAUUCAGUCAUUAUUUUGUCUGUAUCGCCAAUACAUAAUGGUCAUGUAUGGAUUGUAAGAGUUUUGGCUUUUCACUGAGGCCAUAAUUUCAUAACAGUUGAUACGAAGUAUAUUGGAAGGUUGAGGGGAUUUAGCUUAUAGAACUGGAAAAUAACAAUAGUUGUGAAGGCAUUAAUGGUUUGGAACUGGUGGUUGAUUAAGAGGUUGCUGCUGAGGGUUUUGGUGCUGCAUUGCAUUGUUGCUGCUCUGCUGUCCUUUCUUCUUCUUUUUUUUUUUUUUUUUUUUUGUGAUAUUUAAAGCAUUUUAAAAUGAUAUGUCUACGACGGAAAUUCGAAAGCAUUUUAGGAGGUGAGAGAUGAAUAAGUCUCCAUUCCCUGAAAAAAAAAAA